RNAcentral lists this transfer RNA (62 nucleotides) under Alnetoidia dujuanensis. RNAcentral describes it as "tRNA-Cys". The record is from RNAcentral. Lineage: Eukaryota; Metazoa; Arthropoda; Insecta; Hemiptera; Cicadellidae.
AAUCUUAUAGUUUAAAAAAACAUUAAAUUGCAAAUUUAAAAUUAACUUUUAGUUUAAGAUUU